Molecule: long non-coding RNA, 557 nt
Organism: Brienomyrus brachyistius
Lineage: Eukaryota; Metazoa; Chordata; Actinopteri; Osteoglossiformes; Mormyridae
Exons: 2
Source: RefSeq, a predicted model, not a curated record
AGACUGUGGAAUACUUGAAAUCGCAGAUAUGGGGGGCCCACUAUAAUGUUUUGGUUAUUUCUGUUCUUGCCUAAAGAAAAUAUGACCCCAAAGCCUGAAGCUGGAAUGAAAUGUUAUAAGGGUGAAGAUCUGGACCUGAUCAAAUUUUGAUACUUCUUCAAUGUUGGUGCAAUCCGUACGUAUCACAUAGUGAUACUAAACAGAAUGAUAAGAUGAUUAGAAACUUACCCUUAUGAAAAGGAUUUUUCCAUCUCUCAUUCUGCCUCUUCAGAAAAAAAACAUAUAUCCUCUAAUAUCCUUCAAAUGUGACCAUCAUUCACCUCUUACAUUGUUGCCUGUCAAGAAGACUAACCAGUACUUUCAUAGAGAAGGCAGAUCCAAGGACCCUCAGAAACCUCUGACCUUCUGUACUUGGGCAGUAUAAAAUAGUGACCAAAAUAUCCUCUAGACAUAAGCCAGCACUAUAUGUAUGAAAACUAUCCAUCAAACUAAACCACAGAGCAGGUGUGCGCGGGGGGGGGAAAGCAAAAAAAAUAAAUAAAAAGCCAUCUUGCUAC